GACGAACGCUGGCGGCGUGCUUAACACAUGCAAGUCGAACGGAAAGGCCCUGCUUUUGUGGGGUGCUCGAGUGGCGAACGGGUGAGUAACACGUGAGUAACCUGCCCUUGACUUUGGGAUAACUUCAGGAAACUGGGGCUAAUACCGGAUAGGAGCUCCUGCUGCAUGGUGGGGGUUGGAAAGUUUCGGCGGUUGGGGAUGGACUCGCGGCUUAUCAGCUUGUUGGUGGGGUAGUGGCUUACCAAGGCUUUGACGGGUAGCCGGCCUGUGAGGGUGACCGGCCACAUUGGGACUGAGAUACGGCCCAGACUCCUACGGGCGGCAGCAGUGGGGAAUAUUGCACAAUGGGCGGAAGCCUGAUGCAGCAACGCCGCGUGCGGGAUGACGGCCUUCGGGUUGUAAACCGCUUUCGCCUGUGACGAAGCGUGAGUGACGGUAAUGGGUAAAGAAGCACCGGCUAACUACGUG
Molecule: ribosomal RNA, 468 nt
Filed under: uncultured bacterium
Lineage: Bacteria
Description: partial 16S ribosomal RNA
Rfam family: Bacterial small subunit ribosomal RNA
Source: RNAcentral